Non-coding RNA from Camelina sativa (false flax), 1062 nucleotides. The record is from RefSeq and is a predicted model, not a curated record. Lineage: Eukaryota; Viridiplantae; Streptophyta; Magnoliopsida; Brassicales; Brassicaceae.
UAAAUCAGAAAAAAAAGAAAAAACAACAUGAGGUCCUCUUAUUUAGUAUACUCAAUCUUAUUAUAAGAGACUGUACGUGUCAUCAAUUGGUUGGACAAACCGAUUAAUAGAGAUAAAAGAUUUUUUAAUGGUCGAUUGAUUUUUUUUUUCUUCCUCUUCCUCUUUCCUCUCUCUGUCUCUCUCUCUCGAACUCGCGAAUUGACAAUCGAAGAAGAAGAUGAAAUUGGAGGAGAUUGAAUUGGCGGAGGUGAUUGAAUUGAUCUCAGUCGGCAGUUAUUUUGUUAUAUUUUGUUCUUUGAAAUCGAGAAUCUCCUUCAACAAAUUGGGUUCGCUAUUUUCUCAAUUUUGAUUUGCAAUUCGAUUUCGCACUCUCAAAUUCAUAAUUUUGUUGAAGUUUUGGAUUGAAACUUGUGUAAUCAUAGUUUUAUAGAUUCAUAGUUAUUGUGUGCGUCAUGGUUUGAUAAUAUAUUCAAUGAUACAUGUUAAAUGUGGUGUUCGUGUAUGAUAGCUUUAUCAAGUUUUUUUUUUCUUUCUCAAAUUGUGUUGUGUGCACAUUGCGGUGUUUAUUGAAGCUAUGUCUAAACGAACAGUAGAGACGAGAAGAAGCCAGUGAGAGGAUCUCGUCUCAUCAUGAUCAACAACAAAAAGCCAGUGAGAGACAUUAUGAGAAUGUUAUAUAGGAUCUGGGAUGUCCAAUUUCGAGAAAGAGAAUUUGAAUGUCUUGUUAAGGCGUUGUGUUAGGAAUCUAACUCCUGAAGUUGAUGAGGUUCCUUGGAAUCCAACCAGGCAUGUGAUCCUCUGAAUAGAUCUUCAUCACCAUUGUUACCAACAAGCUACUCACAAAGUUCAUCAUAUGCAUAGCACUCCUGAAGAUCUUUAGUCCAUCUGGUGUCUGUGCGCUGAAGAACUCGAGCUCGAUACCCAUAGUCAUGAUGGUCAUGUUCCAAAGAGAAAACAUGGGAUAUUAAUUGUCGUGCUUUUCUUCGAUACGAGUUUUGGUUAUAGCUUCUGUGUCCACACAUUUAUCUUAGCUUCUUAGGUAAUAAGACAAGUUUCGAUCAA